RNAcentral lists this ribosomal RNA (119 nucleotides) under Aotus nancymaae (Ma's night monkey). Lineage: Eukaryota; Metazoa; Chordata; Mammalia; Primates; Aotidae. The record is from RNAcentral.
GUCCACGGCCAUACCACCCUGAACGUGCCCAAUCUCAUCUGAUCUUGGAAGCUGAGCAGGGUCGGAUCUGGUUAGUAUUUGGAUGGGAGACCGCCUGGGAAUACCGGGUGCCGUUGGGG